This 89-nucleotide unclassified non-coding RNA is filed under the name Pseudomonas lini. Lineage: Bacteria; Pseudomonadati; Pseudomonadota; Gammaproteobacteria; Pseudomonadales; Pseudomonadaceae. The record is from RNAcentral.
UGUGGGAGCGGGCUUGCUCGCGAAGGCGUCCGUGUAUUCAGUAUCUAUGUAACUGAAAGACCGCUUUCGCGAGCAAGCCCGCUCCCACA